GUCGCUGCAAAUUCAGCGAUCGGGCUUGGUCGCCCGAAAAGCAAAAGGCGCAACAGCGCCCCCAUUCAGAUUGCAGGCGCUUUUUUU
Molecule: small RNA, 87 nt
Filed under: Pseudomonas syringae pv. persicae
Lineage: Bacteria; Pseudomonadati; Pseudomonadota; Gammaproteobacteria; Pseudomonadales; Pseudomonadaceae
Description: isrK
Rfam family: isrK Hfq binding RNA
Source: RNAcentral